Molecule: ribosomal RNA, 465 nt
Filed under: uncultured bacterium
Lineage: Bacteria
Description: bacterial SSU rRNA
Rfam family: Bacterial small subunit ribosomal RNA
Source: RNAcentral
CCUACGGGUUGCACCAGUGGGGAAUAUUGCACAAUGGGCGCAAGCCUGAUGCAGCCAUGCCGCGUGUAUGAAGAAGGCCUUCGGGUUGUAAAGUACUUUCAGCAAGGAGGAAGGCAUUAAGGUUCAUAACCUUGGUGAUUGACGUUACUCGCAGAAGAAGCACCGGCUAACUCCGUGCCUGCAGCCGCGGUAAUACGGAGGGUGCAAGCGUUAUUCGGAAUUACUGGGCGUAAAGCGCACGCAGGCGGUCUGUCAAGUCGGAUGUGAAAUCCCCGGGCUCAACCUGGGAACUGCAUUCGAAACUGGCAGGCUAGAGUCUUGUAGAGGGGGGUAGAAUUCCAGGUGUAGCGGUGUAAUGCGUAGAGAUCUGGAGGAAUACCGGUGGCGAAGGCGGCCCCCUGGACAAAGACUGACGCUCAGGUGCGAAAGCGUGGGGAGCGAACAGGAUUAGAUACCCGCGUAGUC